CCCUUAGAUGUUCUGGGCUGCACGCGCGCUACACUGAAGCUAUCAACACGUUUUCCCUCCCUGAGAAGGGCGGGUAACCUUUGAAUCAGCUUCGUGGUAGGGAUCGGGGCUUGCAAUUGUUCCCCGUGAACCAGGAAUUCCUAGUAGACGCGAGUCAUAAGCUCGCAUCGAUUAAGUCCCUGCCCUUUGUACACACCGCCCGUCGCUACUACCGAUUGAACGUUUUAGUGAGGCAUUUGGACCGACGCAUCUCAGUUUAACCGCUGGUUUGUGUUGGAAAGACUUCCAAACUUGAGCGUUUAGAGGAAGUAAAAGUCGUAACA
This 323-nucleotide ribosomal RNA is filed under the name uncultured eukaryote. RNAcentral's name for it is "partial 18S ribosomal RNA". It matches the Rfam family "Eukaryotic small subunit ribosomal RNA", at positions 1470 to 1796 of the family's 1831-position model. The record is from RNAcentral.